GUUUUAAUAGUUUAAAAAAAACUUUGGUCUUGUAAACCAAUAAUGAAUUACUAUUUCUUAAAACU
Molecule: transfer RNA, 65 nt
Filed under: Tetralia glaberrima
Lineage: Eukaryota; Metazoa; Arthropoda; Malacostraca; Decapoda; Tetraliidae
Also listed under: 2 other names
Description: tRNA-Thr
Rfam family: tRNA
About the family: Transfer RNA (tRNA) molecules are approximately 80 nucleotides in length.
Source: RNAcentral